RNAcentral lists this transfer RNA (76 nucleotides) under Flavobacteriales bacterium. RNAcentral describes it as "tRNA-Lys". It matches the Rfam family "tRNA". From Rfam's summary of the family: Transfer RNA (tRNA) molecules are approximately 80 nucleotides in length. Their secondary structure includes four short double-helical elements and three loops (D, anti-codon, and T loops). Lineage: Bacteria; Pseudomonadati; Bacteroidota; Flavobacteriia; Flavobacteriales. The record is from RNAcentral.
GACUCGAUAGCUCAGCCGGUAGAGCAUAACACUUUUAAUGUUAGGGUCCUGGGUUCGAAUCCCAGUCGGGUCACCA